RNAcentral lists this ribosomal RNA (497 nucleotides) under uncultured bacterium. RNAcentral describes it as "partial 16S ribosomal RNA". It matches the Rfam family "Bacterial small subunit ribosomal RNA", at positions 28 to 507 of the family's 1533-position model. The record is from RNAcentral.
GAUGAACGCUGGCGGCGUGCCUAAUACAUGCAAGUCGAGCGAACAGACGAGGAGCUUGCUCCUCUGACGUUAGCGGCGGACGGGUGAGUAACACGUGGAUAACCUACCUAUAAGACUGGGAUAACUUCGGGAAACCGGAGCUAAUACCGGAUAAUAUAUUGAACCGCAUGGUUCAAUAGUGAAAGACGGUUUUGCUGUCACUUCUAGAUGGAUCCGCGCCGCAUUAGCUAGUUGGUAAGGUAACGGCUUACCAAGGCGACGAUGCGUAGCCGACCCGAGAGGGUGAUCGGCCACACUGGAACUGAGACACGGUCCAGACUCCUACGGGAGGCAGCAGUAGGGAAUCUUCCGCAAUGGGCGAAAGCCUGACGGAGCAACGCCGCGUGAGUGAUGAAGGUCUUCGGAGCGUAAAACUCUGUUAUUAGGGAAGAACAAAUGUGUAAGUAACUAUGCACGUCUUGACGGUACCUAAUCAGAAAGCCACGGCUAACUACGUG